AACGUAGGAGACAAACGUUAUCCGGAGUUACUGGGCGUAAAGGGCGUGUAGGCGGUUUGUUAAGUCUGGCGUGAAAGCUCUCGGCUAAACCGGGAGAGGUCGUUGGAUACUGGCGAACUAGAGGAUGGUAGAGGCGUGUGGAAUUCCGGGUGUAGUGGUGAAAUGCGUAGAGAUCCGGAGGAACACCAGUGGCGAAGGCGACACGCUGGGCCAUACCUGACGCUCAUGUACGAAAGCGUGGGGAGCAAACAGG
This 253-nucleotide ribosomal RNA is filed under the name uncultured bacterium. Its description in RNAcentral is "partial 16S ribosomal RNA". It matches the Rfam family "Bacterial small subunit ribosomal RNA", at positions 524 to 776 of the family's 1533-position model. The record is from RNAcentral.